UUGCUCAAUGAAAUUGAGUACUACAUAGCGAAGAUAAACCUGCAAGUGAAGUUUAGAUAAAUCUGUUUUCAAAAAAGAAUGGCACUGGAGAGCAAAUCACCAGAAGACAGAAGGAAGCUGUAGGAGGCAGAAACUCAUGGGACAAAUCUUCACAAAGCAGAAGCUGUAGAAGGCAGAGACUCAGGGGCAAAGCUUCAGGACCCAGAAUCUCAGGGGUAAAGCCGAAGCAGUUACACUCACAGAGGACAAAGCUUCAGGAGGCGAAGACUCAGGGGUGAAGCUGAAGGAUGUAGAGCCUCAAGGAGCAAAGGGAUACUUCAAAAGGUAUGAAGAAUGGACACCACAAUUUUGAUCCCGUAGUUUUCCUCCACGGUGAAUGCCCUCCUCUGAAGGGACUUUCUUUCUAAGCAAAGCAUUUGAGAAUGCCUGAUGUUAGCCAUGUAUGUUCCAUAGAGGCGUGAAUCACACGGUGUUGUCAGAUAUGGCUGUAGAUUUGUGUACACCCUGCAUAACACUGUGUUGUCCACUUGUUCUGACACCACCUCGCAAAAUUGUUCAGGGCCUAACACAAAGGCAUUGUUUGGGCACUUGAAUGACAUCAAGUUUUCCUUGAUUUCUGUCUUGGACUUAGAUGUUUCCUCAAGACGAUUUGCAACUUGUGCCAAAACAUUUUUUCCAGAUCGGACCAUUUUUUUCAUUUGAUGAAGAUAGCUCUCAAACUUGAAAGCACUGCAGCUGUCAAGGCUGCCAAAGUUUUGGGCAUCUUCUGCAAGGUGCAGCAAGGAAUGGACAUUGUAUACCAAAAAUGUCACUCCAUACAGCUCCCGUCCUCUCUCUACAAAAUACUUA
Molecule: long non-coding RNA, 849 nt
Organism: Cyprinus carpio carpio
Lineage: Eukaryota; Metazoa; Chordata; Actinopteri; Cypriniformes; Cyprinidae
Source: Ensembl